RNAcentral lists this ribosomal RNA (611 nucleotides) under Bradyrhizobium sp. STM 1462. Its description in RNAcentral is "bacterial SSU rRNA". It matches the Rfam family "Bacterial small subunit ribosomal RNA", at positions 897 to 1507 of the family's 1533-position model. The record is from RNAcentral. Lineage: Bacteria; Pseudomonadati; Pseudomonadota; Alphaproteobacteria; Hyphomicrobiales; Nitrobacteraceae.
AAACUCAAAGGAAUUGACGGGGGCCCGCACAAGCGGUGGAGCAUGUGGUUUAAUUCGACGCAACGCGCAGAACCUUACCAGCCCUUGACAUGUCCAGGACCGGUCGCAGAGAUGUGACCUUCUCUUCGGAGCCUGGAACACAGGUGCUGCAUGGCUGUCGUCAGCUCGUGUCGUGAGAUGUUGGGUUAAGUCCCGCAACGAGCGCAACCCCCGUCCUUAGUUGCUACCAUUUAGUUGAGCACUCUAAGGAGACUGCCGGUGAUAAGCCGCGAGGAAGGUGGGGAUGACGUCAAGUCCUCAUGGCCCUUACGGGCUGGGCUACACACGUGCUACAAUGGCGGUGACAAUGGGAAGCGAAGGGGCAACCCCUAGCAAAUCUCAAAAAGCCGUCUCAGUUCGGAUUGGGCUCUGCAACUCGAGCCCAUGAAGUUGGAAUCGCUAGUAAUCGUGGAUCAGCACGCCACGGUGAAUACGUUCCCGGGCCUUGUACACACCGCCCGUCACACCAUGGGAGUUGGUUUUACCUGAAGACGGUGCGCUAACCGAAAGGGGGCAGCCGGCCACGGUAGGGUCAGCGACUGGGGUGAAGUCGUAACAAGGUAGCCGUAGGG